This is a long non-coding RNA of Vitis riparia (riverbank grape), 1402 nucleotides long. RefSeq lists it as uncharacterized. Lineage: Eukaryota; Viridiplantae; Streptophyta; Magnoliopsida; Vitales; Vitaceae. The transcript has 3 exons. The record is from RefSeq and is a predicted model, not a curated record.
AGAAAGAGAAAGAAAACUCCGAUCGAAAGCUCUCCUCCUUUGCCUUUUCUCCAAGCUAUUUCUUUCAAUCUAGGGUUUCAUCAUACUCUUCUUCUCCACCAAGAAUUCAGGUUUUGGAAAAUUGAAAAUGAUGUCCCUCACCCCAGAUCAUUUCAGAAAAGCUGGAUUGGGGGUUAUGGCACCUCUGAUUUUCUUUAAUAUUUUUCUUAAACAAACAUUUUCUAUUGGAGUCAUUCCAAGAUCGUAUGUUGGAGGGCGGAAUGAGAACUAAGGCGGUCAAUUGCCCGCCGAGGCUGGAGUCAUUCCAAGAGCAGUUCGCCAAAUCUUUGAUUCAUUGCAGAGCUCGAAAAUUUGCAUGGGAAGCGAAGGUAUUGUUUUUAUUUAAUUCCACCUUAUUAAUUGCUUUUGCUAACAGUUCUUAUUUGAAAACCACCUGCAGGAGAUUGAGUUAUACCUUUAUAUGAUCUGCUCAUGCCAUCUUUUAUUAUUUGUCAAUGCCUAAAAAUUUUCCUUAGAAGUCCAAGUUUUUUAUCUCGUUGCCUCCUGGGUUCUUAAUUCUUGUGGCUGAUGGAAUUGUAAGUUAAAUUUUUUCCCAAAAAUACUUUUGCCAAUUAGGGCUUCUUUUGAGUUGUUUAAUUGUUCAAACCAGCUUUUUGUAUCCCUGUGUGUGUUGUGUGGGAAUUCUUUUUGUGUUAAUGUUUAGUUUCUUGUAGCCUAGUAGUUGAUUGGGUAGUCUAUAAAAGUAUAGACUACCCAAGGACCCAAGAAUGGGCGCUGAAUAAAAAUCAAGGAAUAACUGCUAAAUUUGACUCAUGAAAAAGAAUAUCGUUUUUAUCAAUAAAAUCCCAGAUUGCAUGAAGUAUUAAGCGAACUCUGGUGUGGAAUUUUUAGCUAUACUGAACUGGGAAUUUGAAUAUUCUGGAAUUAUCUUCCACAUAAGGGAAUUUUGUUUUGAUGGACGUGAAGUUUUUGAAUAUAGAAACGAUAAUGUUUGUUAAGUUUUAUUGUUUUACUUCAGGGGGAAUAGACAGGCACCAGAAAUGUGCCAAUAUCAAUAAACUAGGAGAAUGUGGUCAUAUAGAGGAUUAAAACUCCUAGAACUACAUGUUUUUGUUAGUUUUUUUAAACUCUAGACAACCUCCUUAAAUUCUAUGUGACAAUAAUAUUUUUUCUUUUCAUUUUUCCCUAAUUUCAAUUUUACUGUGCACACUGGUGCUUGUAAUGACCGGGUAUUUUAUGACACGUUAGCAUUUUUAGUUGUGUUUGGAGAACACGUGUCAAUUUCAGAUUGGUGAAUUUCAUUUUAUUGUGUCGGUCAAUUAGAUGAGUUGAAAUUUUAUGUUAUGUCAGCCUUAGGGUAGAAAAUUUCUUAAGAUUUUAGAAAUUGAAAACUUCAGGAAAC